AUUCAUAUGAAGUCAAGCGUCCUCAGCGUUGAAGCUUAAUGAUCCUUUGAUGUCAGCUCUUCCUAUUUUUGUGAAGCAGAAUUACAUCAAGCGUUUCAUUGUUCAUCCACUAAGAGGGAGCAUGAGCUAGUUUAGAGCACUUCGGCCUGAGACAGGUC
Molecule: non-coding RNA, 158 nt
Filed under: Lepisosteus oculatus (spotted gar)
Lineage: Eukaryota; Metazoa; Chordata; Actinopteri; Semionotiformes; Lepisosteidae
Description: Eukaryotic large subunit ribosomal RNA
Rfam family: Eukaryotic large subunit ribosomal RNA
Source: Rfam by way of RNAcentral